RNAcentral lists this ribosomal RNA (253 nucleotides) under uncultured bacterium. Its description in RNAcentral is "partial 16S ribosomal RNA". It matches the Rfam family "Bacterial small subunit ribosomal RNA", at positions 524 to 776 of the family's 1533-position model. The record is from RNAcentral.
UACGUAGGGUGCGAGCGUUGUCCGGAAUUAUUGGGCGUAAAGAGCUCGUAGGCGGCUUGUCGCGUCGGUUGUGAAAGCCCGGGGCUUAACCCCGGGUCUGCAGUCGAUACGGGCAGGCUAGAGUUCGGUAGGGGAGAUCGGAAUUCCUGGUGUAGCGGUGAAAUGCGCAGAUAUCAGGAGGAACACCGGUGGCGAAGGCGGAUCUCUGGGCCGUAACUGACGCUGAGGAGCGAAAGCGUGGGGAGCGAACAGG